RNAcentral lists this ribosomal RNA (217 nucleotides) under Fellomyces polyborus. RNAcentral's name for it is "partial 26S rRNA". It matches the Rfam family "Eukaryotic large subunit ribosomal RNA", at positions 1630 to 1849 of the family's 3401-position model. Lineage: Eukaryota; Fungi; Basidiomycota; Tremellomycetes; Tremellales; Cuniculitremaceae. The record is from RNAcentral.
UGUGGAUCUUUGACGGUGACGUAAAUGAAGUUGGUGACGCUGCAAGGGCCCUGGGAAGAGUUCUNUUUUCUCCUUAACCGCCUACGACCCUGGAAUCGGAUNAUCCGGAGAUGGGGUUAGAUGACGGGUAGAGCCGACACCUCUGACGUGUCMGGUGCGUVCUUGACAGUCCUUGAAAAACCGACGGAACGUNAUAAGUCUCACGCCUNGUNGUNCU